CCUACGGGAGGCUGCAGUGGGGAAUAUUGGGCAAUGGGCGCAAGCCUGACCCAGCAACGCCGCGUGAAGGAAGAAGGCCCUCGGGUUGUAAACUUCUUUUAUUCGGGACGAAACAAAUGACGGUACCGAAUGAAUAAGCCACGGCUAACUACGUGCCAGCAGCCGCGGUAAUACGGCGGUGGCAAGCGUUAUCCGGAUUUACUGGGUGUAAAGGGCGUGUAGGCGGGAGAGGAAGUCAGACGUGAAAUUCCAGGGCUCAACCAUGGAACUGGGUUUGAAACUGGUCGUCUUGAGUGAUGGAGAGGCAGGCGGAAUGCGGGGUGUAGCGGUGAAAUGCGUAGAUAUACGGAGGAACAC
RNAcentral lists this ribosomal RNA (357 nucleotides) under uncultured bacterium. Its description in RNAcentral is "partial 16S ribosomal RNA". It matches the Rfam family "Bacterial small subunit ribosomal RNA", at positions 338 to 709 of the family's 1533-position model. The record is from RNAcentral.